Molecule: ribosomal RNA, 106 nt
Filed under: Rossellomorea vietnamensis
Lineage: Bacteria; Bacillati; Bacillota; Bacilli; Caryophanales; Bacillaceae
Source: RNAcentral
UGAUAAUGGCGAAGAGGUCACACCCGUUCCCAUGCCGAACACGGAAGUUAAGCUCUUCAGCGCCGAUGGUAGUUGGGGGAUCUCCCCCUGUGAGAGUAGGACGUCG